GGAUCAAUCUGUUGGUCGUGCCUUUGGUACGUACUAGCUUAUUGAUUCCUACCUUCUGACGAACCAUGAUGUCAUUAAUUUGGUGUCUUGGGGAAUCAGGACUGUUACUUUGAAAAAAUUAGAGUGUUUAAAGCAAGCUAACGCUUGAAUACAUUAACAUGGAAUAAUGAAAUAGGACGUUCGAUCCUAUUUUGUUGGUUUCUAGGAUUGACGUA
RNAcentral lists this ribosomal RNA (215 nucleotides) under Campeiostachys nutans. RNAcentral describes it as "Elymus nutans partial small subunit ribosomal RNA". The stretch from base 39 to 215 matches the Rfam family "Eukaryotic small subunit ribosomal RNA", at positions 686 to 864 of the family's 1831-position model. Lineage: Eukaryota; Viridiplantae; Streptophyta; Magnoliopsida; Poales; Poaceae. The record is from RNAcentral.